GUGCCAGCCGCCGCGGUAAUACAGAUGUCCCGAGCGUUGUUCGGAUUCACUGGGCGUAAAGGGUGCGCAGGUGGGUCGGCAAGUUUGAUGUGAAAGCCCCGGGCUUAACCCGGGAAUGGCAUUGAAUACUGUUGAUCUGGAGGAUCGGAGGGGGGACUGGAAUUCUUGGUGUAGCAGUGAAAUGCGUAGAUAUCAAGAGGAACACCAGUGGCGAAGGCGAGUCCCUGGACGAUACCUGACACUGAGGCACGAAAGCCGGGGGAGCAAACAGGAUUAGAUACCCUGGUAGUCC
Molecule: ribosomal RNA, 292 nt
Filed under: uncultured bacterium
Lineage: Bacteria
Description: partial 16S ribosomal RNA
Rfam family: Bacterial small subunit ribosomal RNA
Source: RNAcentral